RNAcentral lists this long non-coding RNA (2460 nucleotides) under Dasypus novemcinctus (nine-banded armadillo). RNAcentral's name for it is "lncRNA (ENSDNOG00000052026.1)". The record is from RNAcentral. Lineage: Eukaryota; Metazoa; Chordata; Mammalia; Cingulata; Dasypodidae.
CGUGCCCUCGGAAUAAUUUCCCGCGAGACAGUGGAGGAGAGGGAAUUGGGCAGAGCUUUAUUUCUGGCUUGGUCGCCUCUCACUGCUCUUCUCUCUGGGCCGCUGGUGACGAGUUGGUCACCACGCUUCCCUCCAGCUCUGACGUGCGAGACUCAAUUCUGGGCCUAGUAUACACUAAGCGCUAGAAUGUGCUGAGUUAGUAAAGAUGUUGCACUGAAUCUCUGGGUGCUCCUGGCCAAGCAAUCCCAGCCCAGGUGAGCCACAGCUGCCUCCCUCUGUCUCUUGCUGGAGCAGGUCACACCACCGUUGUGACAGCCUUAGGGUCUCUUAGGUAACUGUGACUCCUAAAUUCCUUGCAUGCAACUUCCUGGUCACAUCGUCCCCUGGGCUCUCCUUAGAACAUUCUCCCCUUCGGCUUUCCCUGUGCUCCAUGCCACUGCGGGAAUGAAUCAGGGACUGAGCCUGGGUGGGGAGAGACCCUGGCCGGCCGCAGGGCAUUCGUGCCAUCGCAAGUCCUCGGGCUUUAGGCUGCAGCCCCUUCCUAGCCGGGCUCCUCUCAAGCUCUUGCCCCUGUUGACCACAGACCCCACUCGAGACCCUUCCACCAGGCACUCAUCCCUCGCGGCUGCCGUGCCUCUCUUCACAGGGUGUUCAGCUGUGGCUUCAUCGCCCGAGGGAAGUCAAGCUUUCCCUCUGCUCCUCGUUCCAGCCCUCUCUUCUCCUGCAUCCUGCGGCCAUCAGGCAGCUUUGGGCUAUCACAACCCCACACACCACCUCUCAGCGGCGGUAUUUCUCCCUGGCCUCCGUGAGUCCUGCUGGCAUGAAGAGGAGAGGAGCGAGCGUCGAGUACGGUUCCAGUAGUUACUUAGGGAUUUUCCGAGGCAGCAGAGACUGCUACCUGGACACCAAAAGUCUGCUUCCGUUUCCAGGGCACGGGGCUCGACAGUAUUUGCCAGCCUCCCAUGGAUUUAGCUUAUCACUGAGCUCUAGGCAAUGGAAUGGAAGUAAAAUCACCACCAUUUGAAGGAGCUCACCAGUGACCUGCCAACAACAGUGAGACUUGGGAGGUGGCAGCCUGGGAAACGCAAGGUGCCUGGACGGCAGUGAGGACAGCCCCCCACCAGGGAGAUGACGCGGCGUGGACUGUUCCAUCAGCAGGAAAUCAACCUGGAUUGCCAUACCCUAGCCCUGGCCCAGUUAACUCACUUCAAGUCUAAGAUCCCCUCCCUGGCUUUUAAGGUCCUCAAGAAUACACGACCUCCCCCAUCUGGCUUCCUCUCCCCCCACUCCCUCCUCGGCACCAUCCAUUCCAUGUGCUGGGCUGGCUUAGCCCCAGCAGCCCACUCGCGGUCAGUUGUUGAAGAGGCCGUUCUCUCCCAGCUGGGUGGGCUUGGUGACCUUGUCGACCGUGUAUGCGAGGAUCUAUAUCCAAACUCUCAAUUCAGUUCCAUUGGUCAGUAUGUCUGUCCUUGUGCCAAUACCAUGCCAUUUUGACCACUGUAGCUUUGUAGUGUAUUUUAAAGUCAGGUAGUGUUGGAAGCAGACUUGGCCCAAUGGAUUGGGCAUCCAUCUACCAUAUGGGAGUUCCACGGUUCAAACCCCGGGCCCCAUGUGGAGCUGGCCCAUACGCAGUGCUGAUGUGCGCAAGGAGUGCUGUGCCAUGCAGGGGUGUCCCCCUUGUAGGGGAGUCCCACGCGCAAGGAGUGUGCCCCGUAAGGAGAGCCACCCAGUGCGAAAGAAAGUGCAGCCUGCCCAGGAAUGGUGCCACACGCAUGGGGAGCUGACACAACAAGAUGACGCAACAAAAAGAAACACAGAUUCCCGUGCUGCUGACAACAACAGAAGCAGACAAAGAAGAACAUGCAGCAAACAGACACAGAGAACAGACAACCGGGGAAGGGGGGAAAGGGAGAGAAAUAAAUAAAUAAAUCUUUAAAAUAAAAUAAAGUCAGUUAGUGUUGAUAUGGGCUAGGUGUGGGGACUGUGUGUUUUUUCAUGAAUAACCUGGGCUGUGUGUGUAAGCUUGCUAAAAUUUAAGAUUCCAGCAUAAGCCAUGUGUGUAUGCAAACCAUAAGAACUGUAGCCCCGCCUUUCGUAACCAUGCCAACUGCUCCAGUCUGCCUAGCUCCCGGAAAGCCAAUUAAGUAAUACAAGCUCUAUAGGCUUUGUAUAUAUGGGAGGAUGCAGACUAAAUGUGUUAAUUCAAGCUUACCUGGAAUGUGGAGGAUAUGUGUUAAUUCAAGCCUAUCUGGUACUCAAAGCACCAUUUGACUUCCCACUCCUAUAUCCUCUGUAUAAAAGGGACCCAAAAAUCCUAUUUGGGGCUCAGCUUUUUGGACAACAGUCUGCCGUGCCUGGCCAGACUUUAAUAAAUUUUCCUUCCCCCAAAUAUUCCUGAGUCGUGGCCUUCCGUAUGCGAUCACUGAAUCUCUCUGCUUCCACAACAGUGUGACUCCUCCG